GUUACAGCAGCCGCGGUAAUACGGAGGGUGCGAGCGUUGUUCGGAUUUAUUGGGCGUAAAGUGCGUGUAGGCGGUCUUUUAAGUCUGAUGUGAAAGCCCCGGGCUCAACCUGGGAAGUGCAUUGGAAACUGGGGGACUUGAAUACGGGAGAGGGUAGUGGAAUUCCUGGUGUAGAGGUGAAAUUCGUAGAUAUUCGGAAGAACACCGGUGGCGAAGGCGGCUCACUGGCCCGUUACUGACGCUCAGGCGCGACAGCGUGGGGAUCAAACAGGAUUAGAUACCCCUGUAGUCC
Molecule: ribosomal RNA, 292 nt
Filed under: uncultured bacterium
Lineage: Bacteria
Description: partial 16S ribosomal RNA
Rfam family: Bacterial small subunit ribosomal RNA
Source: RNAcentral